UCUCUGGGGGUCUGGUGGUUAAGGAUCCUGCGCUGUCACUGCUGUGGCUCAGGUUCAAUCCCUGGCCUGGGAA
Molecule: transfer RNA, 73 nt
Filed under: Sus scrofa (pig)
Lineage: Eukaryota; Metazoa; Chordata; Mammalia; Artiodactyla; Suidae
Rfam family: tRNA
About the family: Transfer RNA (tRNA) molecules are approximately 80 nucleotides in length.
Source: Rfam by way of RNAcentral